Molecule: ribosomal RNA, 79 nt
Filed under: Escherichia coli O157:H7 str. K5453
Lineage: Bacteria; Pseudomonadati; Pseudomonadota; Gammaproteobacteria; Enterobacterales; Enterobacteriaceae
Description: partial 23S ribosomal RNA
Source: RNAcentral
GUGUAAGCGCAGCGAUGCGUUGAGCUAACCGGUACUAAUGAACCGUGAGGCUUAACCUUACAACGCCGAAGGGGUUUUG